GGGCCCGUAGCUCAGCAUGGUUAGAGCGUUCGACUGAUAAUCGAAAGGUCCGGCGUUCAAAUCGCCGCGGGCCCACCA
This 78-nucleotide transfer RNA is filed under the name Thermoprotei archaeon. RNAcentral describes it as "tRNA-Ile". It matches the Rfam family "tRNA". Rfam says of the family: Transfer RNA (tRNA) molecules are approximately 80 nucleotides in length. RNAcentral also lists the same sequence under 3 other names. Lineage: Archaea; Thermoproteati; Thermoproteota; Thermoprotei. The record is from RNAcentral.